Molecule: small nuclear RNA, 192 nt
Organism: Cavia porcellus (domestic guinea pig)
Lineage: Eukaryota; Metazoa; Chordata; Mammalia; Rodentia; Caviidae
Gene: U2
Rfam family: U2 spliceosomal RNA
About the family: U2 is a small nuclear RNA (snRNA) component of the spliceosome (involved in pre-mRNA splicing). Complementary binding between U2 snRNA (in an area lying towards the 5' end but 3' to hairpin I) and the branchpoint sequence (BPS) of the intron results the bulging out of an unpaired adenosine, on the BPS, which initiates a nucleophilic attack at the intronic 5' splice site, thus starting the first of two transesterification reactions that mediate splicing.
Source: Ensembl
AUCUUUUCCCCAGCCUUUUGGAGAAGACCAAGUAUAGCAUCUGUUCUUAUCAGUUUAGUAUCUGCUACAUUCUCUAUCAGAGGACAAUAUAUUAAAUGUAUUUUUGAAGCUGGGAGAUGGAACAGGAGCUUGCUCUGUCCACUCCUUGCAUUAACCUGGUACAGUAGAACUUCUAAGAACAGUAUCUCCCCA